ACGUCUCGGUCUCGCCUCUUGCCCCGCCCUUGGCUCUGGGCGGGGCUCCGGGGCCUCGCCUUCAAUCUCUGUGGGGGCAGAGGGUGCUGGCAGCCGCCCCACCCCCGCAGUGCCGCGCGCCCCCUGACGGCGGCCGCGGCACCCUCCGCCCGGGGAGAGCCAGGCGGCGGCGGGGGGCUGCUGCUGCACGUGGCCGCCGCGCGGGGAGGCGGCCCCGUGACGCUGCGCUUCGCCCAGGGCGGCCCGGCAGCUGUACAAGGGGUUAAGGGGCAAAGUGUAGCCUGGCCGGCUGCUGUGCAGCCACGGGCCUCUCCUCGCAGCCCGGGGCGCUGAGAGCCCGACAGCCGAGGCCAGGGACAAAGCUAGCACUGGGCUGUGGCUCCGAGAGCGCAGGGUAGCAUGGAUUAGGGGGCGUCCAUAAAUUACAUAACACUUUUUGGGUAACUUUUCCAUACCCACCCUCCCUUGUAACACUGAAAGAAACACACAAAAUUAAGGACCCGCCCUGUUACAUAAUGUACAGACAGCCUAGUAGACGGCCACUAACCCCCUGCAAAGGUGGGCACCAGCGUAAGAAUACAAGACCCAUCCCGGCCAGUGGGAGUUGGGGGGCGGGGCAUGCGGGUGAAAGCCACGCAGAGUCGGUUGCUUGCCUCCACCGAGGAGCCGGACCUGCUGCUUGGCGCUUCUGGGGUGCAGCGUGGUCCGUGGUGCCAGGACAGGUGGGAAGCCUGUCUCUGCACCCUGGCGACACCGCUGACCGGGAGCGCCGGAGGUUCGGCCUCCCUGUCCAGAGUCUGUCAUCUGGUAGGAUUCCUUCUCCUGCAAAGAGGACCCCUUCCACCCUAAAUAAUGAGUCAAUCAGUAAAGAUCAAAGCAACAGCAUGUGCUUGGGACCUCAAUCCUCUGGCUAAUGGCAAACCUUUGGAGAGGAACUCCAAGGCGUCCCUUGAUGUUCCUUCGGGACCACGGGAAGCAGGAGAACAGCGAUGGAUGAUGACAAAGGUCACAGGCUCCUGAAGGGAAGACUACAGGUACUUGAACUAAGUCAAAUCUGUUGCAUAAGGAUGAUUGAUCCACAGGAUACUAUAGAUCAGGGCCUGGCCUAAGAGCGGGAGAAUUGCAGAAUUCCACUCCAGAAGAGACGCCAUACUACGGCAAGCAUGGAGCCUGCUCAGAUCACUUUGGCAAUUAGGAGCACAUU
Molecule: long non-coding RNA, 1204 nt
Organism: Chelonia mydas (Green sea turtle)
Lineage: Eukaryota; Metazoa; Chordata; Testudines; Cheloniidae
Exons: 5
Source: RefSeq, a predicted model, not a curated record